AUUUUUCUCAAUUGAAAUUUCAUAAAUAAAAAAGAAAAUUUCUUCAAACAUUUUUUUGAGAGGAUUAAUAUUCAACAGCAUAGUGAAUUGCUCUAAGAGAAACAAAAAUUUUAAGUUCAUUAGAACACAUUCAUUCUGUGUCAGAAACCUAUGCUGUGUCAACUAUUUAAUCACAAUCCAAAUUUGGAGCUGAAUCCAGCUUGAAUGUUGUGUCCAUACUUGCCCUAACCGUUCAGGGUUCAACCUCUGCGGUCGUAUAAAGCUACGCCCUGUGGAGCAUCUGGUUAUAAUUUUGACUUUUGAAU
RNAcentral lists this long non-coding RNA (305 nucleotides) under Mytilus galloprovincialis (Mediterranean mussel). Lineage: Eukaryota; Metazoa; Mollusca; Bivalvia; Mytilida; Mytilidae. The record is from RNAcentral.